GCGGGUGUGGCGGAAUUGGCAGACGCGCUAGAUUUAGGAUCUAGUGGCCUUAGGCCGUGGAGGUUCGAGUCCUCUCACCCGUA
This 83-nucleotide transfer RNA is filed under the name Planctomycetaceae bacterium. RNAcentral describes it as "tRNA-Leu". It matches the Rfam family "tRNA". From Rfam's summary of the family: Transfer RNA (tRNA) molecules are approximately 80 nucleotides in length. Their secondary structure includes four short double-helical elements and three loops (D, anti-codon, and T loops). Lineage: Bacteria; Pseudomonadati; Planctomycetota; Planctomycetia; Planctomycetales; Planctomycetaceae. The record is from RNAcentral.